GGCAGGCUGAGCCGGGGCUGAAUCAGUUCUGCUUACUUUGUGCUCUCACCUCUUUCUCUGAAGUUCUGUUUUUAUCUGACACAAGGAAAUGCGAUUCUAAGCUCCAUGCGCAAGUUUCUCCCCAAAGUGCUGCCUCCCAAACACUUGGAACACCCCACUCACCUGUGUCCUGCCUUCCUCUUAGAGUUUCAAGCUCGGAGGAGUCAGAAAGGGAGGUGAGCCGAGCCGGAACGCGGAGGAGAGACCAGGCCACUCGGCCGUCGUCAUUCUGCCACCUCCAGGGUCAGCCCCAAGGUCCCAGAACAAAAGUAGCUGUAGGUCGCUGAGUGCACCGAAGCUCUGAGCCGCUGGCCCCUGAGACUGCAAAGGAGGGGCGGGUGGGACUCAGGCGUGGCUUCCGUCCUGCACCUGGGACCGCGAAGGUGCAGACAGAAAGCCAGGUGGGGUUCCCUGCAAGGGCAGACAGACGUUGAGCUGGGGACUGGGGAUACUGUGUCCCCUCGGCUGGGCAGGGCGCGGGAGCCUCCCGCAGUACUCCCCGUUCCCGGCAGAGGGCGCGCCGGCGGGCUGACAGCG
Molecule: long non-coding RNA, 576 nt
Filed under: Cavia porcellus (domestic guinea pig)
Lineage: Eukaryota; Metazoa; Chordata; Mammalia; Rodentia; Caviidae
Description: lncRNA (ENSCPOG00000033818.1)
Source: RNAcentral